RNAcentral lists this ribosomal RNA (497 nucleotides) under uncultured bacterium. Its description in RNAcentral is "partial 16S ribosomal RNA". It matches the Rfam family "Bacterial small subunit ribosomal RNA", at positions 28 to 507 of the family's 1533-position model. The record is from RNAcentral.
GAUGAACGCUGGCGGCGUGCCUAAUACAUGCAAGUCGAGCGAACAGACGAGGAACUUGCUCCUCUGACGUUAGCGGCGGACGGGUGAGUAACACGUGGAUAACCUACCUAUAAGACUGGGAUAACUUCGGGAAACCGGAGCUAAUAACGGAUAAUAUAUUGAACGGCAUGGAUCAAUAGUGAAAGACGGUUUUGCUGUCACUUAUAGAUGGAUCCGCGCCGCAUUAGCUAGUUGGUAAGGUAACGGCUUACCAAGGCAACGAUGCGUAGCCGACCUGAGAGGGUGAUCGGCCACACUGGAACUGAGACACGGUCCAGACUCCUACGGGAGGCAGCAGUAGGGAAUCUUCCGCAAUGGGCGAAAGCCUGACGGAGCAACGCCGCGUGAGUGAUGAAGGUCUUCGGAUCGUAAAGCUCUGUUAUUAGGGAAGAAUAAAUGUGUAAGUAACUAUGCACGUCUUGACGGUACCUAAUCAGAAAGCCACGGCUAACUACGUG